UUCGCAAUGCCCGAAAGGGUGACGAAGCGACGCCGCGUGAGUGAGGAAGGCCUUCGGGUCGUAAAGCCCUGUCAGGAGUUAAGAAAUAUAAGUGUGUUAAUACCGCAUUUAUUUGACGAAGGCUCCAAAGGAAGCCACGGCUGACUCUGUGCCAGCAGCCGCGGUAAUACAGAGGUGGCAAGCGUUGUUCGGAAUUAUUGGGCGUAAAGAGCACGUAGGUGGGUUUAUAAGUCAGAUGUGAAAGCCUUCUGUUCAACGGGAGAAUUGCAUCUGAAACUGUAAGUCUUGAGUAUAGGAGGGGAGAAUGGAACUUCUGGUGGAGCGGUGAAAUGCGUAGAUAUCAGAAGGAACGCCGGCGGCGAAAGCGACUCUCUGGCCUAUUACUGACACUGAGUGUGCGAAAGUUAGGGGAGCAAACGGGAUUAGAUACCCCGGUAGUCCUAACUGUAAACGAUGGGCACUAAGUAGAGGGGUUUU
This 477-nucleotide ribosomal RNA is filed under the name Candidatus Scalindua brodae. RNAcentral describes it as "bacterial SSU rRNA". It matches the Rfam family "Bacterial small subunit ribosomal RNA", at positions 365 to 832 of the family's 1533-position model. The record is from RNAcentral. Lineage: Bacteria; Pseudomonadati; Planctomycetota; Candidatus Brocadiia; Candidatus Brocadiales; Candidatus Scalinduaceae.